This 425-nucleotide ribosomal RNA is filed under the name uncultured bacterium. RNAcentral describes it as "bacterial SSU rRNA". It matches the Rfam family "Bacterial small subunit ribosomal RNA", at positions 356 to 773 of the family's 1533-position model. The record is from RNAcentral.
GGGGAAUUUUGGACAAUGGGCGCAAGCCUGAUCCAGCCAUGCCGCGUGCGGGAAGAAGGCCUUCGGGUUGUAAACCGCUUUUGUCAGGGAAGAAAUCCUUUGGGUUAAUACCUCGGAGGGAUGACGGUACCUGAAGAAUAAGCACCGGCUAACUACGUGCCAGCAGCCGCGGUAAUACGUAGGGUGCAAGCGUUAAUCGGAAUUACUGGGCGUAAAGCGUGCGCAGGCGGUUUUGUAAGACAGAGGUGAAAUCCCCGGGCUCAACCUGGGAACUGCCUUUGUGACUGCAAAGCUGGAGUACGGCAGAGGGGGAUGGAAUUCCGCGUGUAGCAGUGAAAUGCGUAGAUAUGCGGAGGAACACCGAUGGCGAAGGCAAUCCCCUGGGCCUGUACUGACGCUCAUGCACGAAAGCGUGGGGAGCAAAC